AACGCGAAGAACCUUACCAGGUCUUGACAUGGACAGUAUGGAUCCCGGAAAUGGGAUCCUUCAGUUUGGCUGGCUGUUCACAGGUGCUGCAUGGCUGUCGUCAGCUCGUGUCGUGAGAUGUUGGGUUAAGUCCCGCAACGAGCGCAACCCUCAUCCUUAGUUGCCAACAGGUUAAGCUGGGAACUCUAAGGAAACUGCCGGUGAUAAGCCGGAGGAAGGUGGGGAUGACGUCAAGUCUUCAUGGUCCUUACGACCUGGGCUACACACGUGCUACAAUGGCGAUGACAAUGGGGAGCUAACCUGCAAGGGUGUGCAAAUCUCAAAAAGUCGUCUCAGUUCGGAUUGCACUCUGCAACUCGAGUGCAUGAAGCUGGAAUCGCUAGUAAUCGUAGAUCAGCAUGCUACGGUGAAUACGUUCCCGGGCCUUGUACACACCGACGCAC
This 443-nucleotide ribosomal RNA is filed under the name uncultured bacterium. RNAcentral's name for it is "bacterial SSU rRNA". It matches the Rfam family "Bacterial small subunit ribosomal RNA", at positions 958 to 1398 of the family's 1533-position model. The record is from RNAcentral.